GCGUCACAGGAAGUGGAGGCCCCACCCCCUAACGUCAGGGGCGGAAGUGAGCGUUGCUGCGGCGCGGGUGUGGGGAGAAGGCGGCUGUGGGAACGUGUCUCGACCGAGCGCUUGGAUUCAGCUUCUUCAUUUCCAGCAUGGAAGAAACUUACAUCGAUUCCCUGGACCCUGAAAAGCUAUUACAAUGCCCCUAUGAUAAAAACCACCAAAUCAGGGCCUGCAGGUUUCCUUAUCAUCUUAUCAAGUGCAGAAAGAAUCAUCCUGAUGUCGCAAACAAAUUGGCUACUUGUCCCUUCAAUGCUCGCCACCAGGUUCCUCGGGCCGAAAUCAGUCAUCAUAUCUCAAGCUGUGACGAUAAAAGUUGUAUUGAGCAGGAUGUUGUCAACCAAACCAGGAACCUUGGACAAGAGACUCUGGCUGAGAGCACAUGGCAGUGCCCUCCUUGCGAUGAGGACUGGGAUAAAGAUCUUUGGGAACAGACCAGCACCCCAUUUGUCUGGGGCACAGCCAACUACUGUGGCAACAACAGCCCUGCAAGCAACAUAGUUAUGGAACCUAAGAGUAACCUGGCUUCAGGCAUGCGUGUUCCCAAGUCUCUGCCAUAUGUUCUGCCAUGGAAAAACAAUGGAAAUGCACAGUAACUGAAUAGCUCAUCAAUUCAUUCGCUUCCUCUGGACAGUGAAGCAGAUGGAUCUCCUGUGAGUUAGGGUUCAUUUUGUGCCAAAACUGAUGUUUCUUCUGGUGAGAAGCAGAAAAGAGAUUCCAAAAGCAAACACCCCUUAGCUAUGGACGAUAAUAUUUAUGUGUUGCUUCUAGGUGCUAGCGAUUUUUCUUGAUGCCAGACUCUAGAAGACUCUUGCUUCUUCCUGCUACCAAUGGGUUCUUCGUGGUUUUUUCCUCCUAAUCUAAUUAUAGAAACAUAAACUGUCUGUGACUUUCAAACUGACAAGUACCUUUUUUUUUCCUCCAUGCUUUGAGUCUUCACUCAUUUGAUGCAACAAAUGAGUUCGAGGGCUGCGGACAGCCCUCAAACUCAGAACUGUUUCAAAUAAAGCAUCAACCUAGA
RNA transcript from Mirounga angustirostris (Northern elephant seal), 1066 nucleotides. It is a transcript of the gene named gametocyte specific factor 1, with no coding region annotated. The transcript has 10 exons. Lineage: Eukaryota; Metazoa; Chordata; Mammalia; Carnivora; Phocidae. The record is from RefSeq and is a predicted model, not a curated record.